GACGAACGCUGGCGGCGUGCCUAAUACAUGCAAGUUGAGCGCUGAAGGUUGGUACUUGUACCCACUGGAUGAGCAGCGAACGGGUGAGUAACGCGUGGGGAAUCUGCCUUUGAGCGGGGGACAACAUUUGGAAACGAAUGCUAAUACCGCAUAAAAACUUUAAACACAAGUUUUAAGUUUGAAAGAUGCAAUUGCAUCACUCAAAGAUGAUCCCGCGUUGUAUUAGCUAGUUGGUGAGGUAAAGGCUCACCAAGGCGAUGAUACAUAGCCGACCUGAGAGGGUGAUCGGCAACAUUGGGACUGGGACACGGCCCAAACUCCUACGGGAGGCAGCAGUAGGGAAUCUUCGGCAAAGGACGAAAGGCUGACCGAGCAACGCCGCGUGAGUGAAGAAGGUUUUCGGAUCGUAAAACUCUGUUGGUAGAGAAGAACGUUGGUGAGAGUGGAAAGCUCAUCAAGUGACGGUAACUACCCAGAAAGGGACGGCUAACUACGUG
Molecule: ribosomal RNA, 497 nt
Filed under: uncultured bacterium
Lineage: Bacteria
Description: partial 16S ribosomal RNA
Rfam family: Bacterial small subunit ribosomal RNA
Source: RNAcentral